UGGGGAAUAUUGCACAAUGGGGAAAACCCUGAUGCAGCGACGCCGCGUGAACGAAGAAGGUAUUCGUAUCGUAAAGUUCUGUCCUAUGGGAAGAUAAUGACAGUACCAUAGAAGAAAGCUCCGGCUAAAUACGUGCCAGCAGCCGCGGUAAUACGUAUGGAGCGAGCGUUGUCCGGAAUUAUUGGGCGUAAAGGGUACGCAGGCGGUUUAAUAAGUCGAAUGUUAAAGAUCGGGGCUCAACCCCGCAAAGCAUUGGAAACUGAUAAACUUGAGUAGUGGAGAGGAAAGUGGAAUUCCUAGUGUAGUGGUGAAAUACGUAGAUAUUAGGAGGAAUACCAGUAGCGAAGGCGACUUUCUGGACACAAACUGACGCUGAGGUACGAAAGCGUGGGGAGCAAACAGG
This 403-nucleotide ribosomal RNA is filed under the name bacterium. RNAcentral describes it as "partial 16S ribosomal RNA". It matches the Rfam family "Bacterial small subunit ribosomal RNA", at positions 355 to 776 of the family's 1533-position model. The record is from RNAcentral.